UUUCUCUCGCCAGGCGUCCUCGUGGAAGUGACAUCGUCUUUAAACCCUGCGUGGCAAUCCCUGACGCACCGCCGUGAUGCCCAGGGAAGACAGGGCGACCUGGAAGUCCAACUACUUCCUUAAGAUCAUCGUAAGUGCAGGCAACUAUUGGAUGAUUAUCCGAAAUGUUUCAUCGUGGGAGCAGACAAUGUGGGCUCCAAGCAGAUGCAGCAGAUCCGCAUGUCCCUUCGCGGGAAGGCCGUGGUGCUGAUGGGCAAGAACACCAUGAUGCGCAAGGCCAUCCGAGGGCACCUGGAAAACAACCCAGCUCUGGAGAAGUCAGUUCCCCUGGCAGUCCUUUCUCCCCAGUGCCCGUCUCCCUCUUCCUGGAGAAUGGUGCUGAAAGGUGAUUGUCUCCCAUAAACUUGUUUGCAGACUGCUGCCUCAUAUCCGGGGGAAUGUGGGCUUUGUGUUCACCAAGGAGGACCUCACUGAGAUCAGGGACAUGUUGCUGGCCAAUAAGGUGCCAGCUGCUGCCCGUGCUGGUGCCAUUGCCCCAUGUGAAGUCACUGUGCCAGCCCAGAACACUGGUCUCGGGCCCGAGAAGACCUCCUUUUUCCAGGCUUUAGGUAUCACCACUAAAAUCUCCAGGGGCACCAUUGAAA
This 644-nucleotide small RNA is filed under the name Pongo abelii (Sumatran orangutan). RNAcentral's name for it is "retained intron". The record is from RNAcentral. Lineage: Eukaryota; Metazoa; Chordata; Mammalia; Primates; Hominidae.